RNAcentral lists this ribosomal RNA (447 nucleotides) under uncultured bacterium. RNAcentral describes it as "bacterial SSU rRNA". It matches the Rfam family "Bacterial small subunit ribosomal RNA", at positions 355 to 825 of the family's 1533-position model. The record is from RNAcentral.
UGGGGAAUCUUGGACAAUGGGCGAAAGCCUGACCCAGCAACGCCGCGUGAAGGAUGAAGUAUUUCGGUAUGUAAACUUCGAAAGAAUAGGAAGAAUAAAUGACGGUACUAUUUAUAAGGUCCGGCUAACUACGUGCCAGCAGCCGCGGUAAUACGUAGGGACCAAGCGUUGUUCGGAUUUACUGGGCGUAAAGGGCGCGUAGGCGGCAAUUCAAGUCAUCUGUGAAAUCUCCGGGCUUAACUCGGAACGGUCAGAUGAUACUGCUUUGCUAGAGUGCAGAAGGGGCAAUCGGAAUUCUUGGUGUAGCGGUGAAAUGCGUAGAUAUCAAGAGGAACACCUGAGGUGAAGACGGUUUACUGGGCUGUAACUGACGCUGAGGCGCGAAAGCAUGGGGAGCAAACAGGAUUAGAUACCCCGGUAGUCCCUGAGCGGGCUGGCAAGGCGCAU